GGACGAACGCUGGCGGCGUGCCUAACACAUGCAAGUCGAGCGGAGGUGUUGGAAGGUGAAAGCCGGAAGACACCUUAGCGGCGGACGGGUGAGUAACACGUAGGCAACCUACCCACCACACGGGGAUAGCCCUGGGAAACCGGGGGUAAUACCCGAUGACUUUAUUAAGCGGGUGCUUAAUAAAGAAAGGCAGGAAUGCGGUGGUGGAUGGGCCUGCGGCCCAUCAGCUAGUUGGCGGGAUAACAGCCCACCAAGGCGACGACGGGUAGCCGGCCUGAGAGGGUGGUCGGCCACACUGGGACUGGGACACGGCCCAGACUCCUACGGGAGGCAGCAGUGGGGAAUAUUGGGCAAUGGGGGGAACCCUGACCCAGCGACGCCGCGUGGAGGAAGAAGGCCUUCGGGUUGUAAACUCCUGUCACCUGGGAAGAAGAGGACGGUACCAGGGGAGGAAGCCCCGGCUAACUACGUGCCAGCAGCCGCGGUAAUACGUAGGGGGCGAGCGUUGUCCGGAAUUACUGGGCGUAAAGGGCGUGUAGGCGGGGCAGCAAGUUGCGGGUAAAAAACCAGGGCUCAACCCUGGGGGUGCCUGCGAAACUGCUGUUCUUGAGGGCGGGAGAGGAGAGUGGAAUUCCCGGAGUAGCGGUGAAAUGCGUAGAUACCGGGAGGAACACCAGUGGCGAAGGCGGCUCUCUGGACCGACCCUGACGCUGAGGCGCGAAAGCCAGGGGAGCGAACGGGAUUAGAUACCCCCGGGUUAAGGUCCUGGCCGGUAAAACGAAUUGGUCACUUAGGGUGUGGGGUGGGUUGAUAAAGGCCCAUUCCCGUUGCCCCGGAGCCCAACCGCCAAAUUAAAGGUGAGCCCGCCUGGGGGGAGUACGGCCGCAAAGGUUGAAAACUCAAAAAGGGAAUUGACGGGGGGGGCCCGCACAAAGGCGGUGGGAGCAUGUGGGUUUAAAUUUCGAAAGGCAAACCGCCGAAAGAAACCCUUUAACCCAGGGCCUUGACACGCAGGGUAGUAGCGAAACCCGAAAAGGGGGGAGCGACGCUUUACGCGAGUAAGCGAGCUCUGCACAAGGGUGGUGCAUGGUUGUCGUCGAGCUCGUGUUCGUGAGAUGUUGGGUUAAAGUCCCGCAAACGGAGCGCCAACCCCCUACCACUUAGUUGCCCAGCCACGGGGAAGGGUGGGGCCACUUCUUAAAGUGAAACUGCCCGCCCGACCAAGGGCGGAAGGGAAAGGGUGGGGGAAUGACGUUCGAAAUUCCAUCCAUGCCCCCUUUUAUGGGCCUGGGGCUCACCACACGUGCUUACGAAUGGGCCCGGUACAACGGGAGGGCGAAGGGUGCGAAACCAAAGCGAGGCCCUUAAAGCCGGUCUCGGUUUCAGAUUGCGGGCUGCAACUCGCCUGCAUGAAAGGCAAACCGCUAGUAAUCGCGGAUCAGCGUGCCGCGGUGAAUACGUUCUGGGCAUUGUACGCGCUCGCCCGUCGCGCUGUGGAGUUGGCACGCCCGAACCGAGCGAGAGCCUUCGAAGGUGAGGCUCAGCGACUGGGGUAAG
Molecule: ribosomal RNA, 1557 nt
Filed under: uncultured bacterium
Lineage: Bacteria
Description: bacterial SSU rRNA
Rfam family: Bacterial small subunit ribosomal RNA
Source: RNAcentral